RNAcentral lists this ribosomal RNA (353 nucleotides) under uncultured bacterium. Its description in RNAcentral is "bacterial SSU rRNA". It matches the Rfam family "Bacterial small subunit ribosomal RNA", at positions 917 to 1269 of the family's 1533-position model. The record is from RNAcentral.
GGGCCCGCACAAGCAGUGGAGCAUGUGGUUUAAUUCGAUGCAACGCGAAGAACCUUACCAGGCCUUGACAUCCCCGGAACUUUCUAGAGAUAGAUUGGUGCCUUCGGGAACCGGGUGACAGGUGCUGCAUGGCUGUCGUCAGCUCGUGUCGUGAGAUGUUGGGUUAAGUCCCGUAACGAGCGCAACCCUUAUUCCUAGUUGCCAGCGAGUAAUGUCGGGGACUCUAGGAAGACUGCCGGUGACAAGCCGGAGGAAGGCGGGGACGACGUCAAGUCAUCAUGGCCCUUACGGGGUGGGCUAGAAACGUGCUACAAUGGGGAGUACAAAGGGCUGCAAACCAGCAAUGGUAAGCG